RNAcentral lists this ribosomal RNA (247 nucleotides) under uncultured bacterium. RNAcentral's name for it is "partial 16S ribosomal RNA". It matches the Rfam family "Bacterial small subunit ribosomal RNA", at positions 523 to 769 of the family's 1533-position model. The record is from RNAcentral.
AUACGAAGGGGGCUAGCGUUGUUCGGAAUUACUGGGCGUAAAGGAUGCGUAGGCGGAUAUGUAAGUCAGAUGUGAAAUCCCGGGGCUCAACCUCGGAACUGCCUUUGAUACUGGGUGUCUAGAGUGUGGAAGAGGUAAGUGGAAUUCCGAGUGUAGAGGUGAAAUUCGUAGAUAUUCGGAGGAACACCAGUGGCGAAGGCGGCUUACUGGUCCAUUACUGACGCUGAGGUGCGAAAGCGUGGGGAGC